UACGUAGGGACCAAGCGUUGUUCGGAUUUACUGGGCGUAAAGGGCGCGUAGGCGGCGUGUUAAGUCAGCUGUGAAAUCUCCAAGCUUAACUUGGAACGGUCAGCUGAUACUGAUGUGCUAGAGUGCAGAAGGGGCAAUCGGAAUUCUUGGUGUAGCGGUGAAAUGCGUAGAUAUCAAGAGGAACACCUGAGGUGAAGACAGGUUGCUGGGCUGACACUGACGCUGAGGCGCGAAAGCUAGGGUAGCAAACGGG
This 253-nucleotide ribosomal RNA is filed under the name uncultured bacterium. Its description in RNAcentral is "partial 16S ribosomal RNA". It matches the Rfam family "Bacterial small subunit ribosomal RNA", at positions 524 to 776 of the family's 1533-position model. The record is from RNAcentral.